GGGCUCAUGGUCCAACGGGACGACACCGGCUCGGCAGGUCGGAGAUCUGGGUUCGAUUCCCAGUGGGUCCA
RNAcentral lists this transfer RNA (71 nucleotides) under Planctomycetaceae bacterium. Its description in RNAcentral is "tRNA-Ala". It matches the Rfam family "tRNA". From Rfam's summary of the family: Transfer RNA (tRNA) molecules are approximately 80 nucleotides in length. Their secondary structure includes four short double-helical elements and three loops (D, anti-codon, and T loops). The record is from RNAcentral. Lineage: Bacteria; Pseudomonadati; Planctomycetota; Planctomycetia; Planctomycetales; Planctomycetaceae.